UGCAGUCGACGAGGGCGAUAGCAAUAUUGCCCGAGUGGCGGACGGGUGAGUAACGCGUGAACAAUCUGCCUGUAUCAGGGGAAUAACACUAAGAAAUUGGUGCUAAUACCGCAUAAGACCACGGAGAGGCAUCUCCCCGGGGUAAAAGAAUAAUCGGAUACAGAUGAGUUCGCGUCCCAUUAGGUAGUUGGUGAGGUAACGGCCCACCAAGCCGACGAUGGGUAGCCGACCUGAGAGGGUGAUCGGCCACAUUGGAACUGAGAGACGGUCCAGACUCCUACGGGAGGCAGCAGUGGGGAAUAUUGGGCAAUGGAGGGAACUCUGACCCAGCAACGCCGCGUGAGUGAAGAAGGUCUUCGGAUUGUAAAACUCUUUAAGCGGGGACGAAGAAAGUGACUGUACCCGCAGAAUAAGCAUCGGCUAACUACGUGCCAGCAGCCGCGGUAAUACGUAGGAUGCAAGCGUUAUCCGGAAUGACUGGGCGUAAAGGGUGCGUAGGUGGUUUGUCAAGUUGGCAGCGUAAUUCCGUGGCUUAACCGCGGAACUACUGCCAAAACUGAUAGGCUUGAGUGCGGCAGGG
This 580-nucleotide ribosomal RNA is filed under the name uncultured bacterium. RNAcentral's name for it is "bacterial SSU rRNA". It matches the Rfam family "Bacterial small subunit ribosomal RNA", at positions 56 to 656 of the family's 1533-position model. The record is from RNAcentral.